CCAAGCUUCUCGGUGUUGACGCCGAGGAGCUCUACAGGAACUUCUGCAAGCCCAAGAUCAAGGUCGGUGCCGAGUUCGUCACCAAGGGUAUGGGCGUCAAUGCUGUCAACUACAACGUCGGUGCCAUGGCCAAGGGUCUCUUCUCACGUGUGUUCUCAUGGCUCGUCAAGAAGUGCAACAUGACACUUGAAACUGGCCAGACCCGUGCUAUGUUCAUCGGUGUGCUUGAUAUUGCCGGCUUCGAGAUCUUCGAUUUCAACGGUUUCGAGCAGAUCUGUAUCAACUUCUGUAACGAGAAGCUGCAACAGUUCUUUAACCAUCACAUGUUCGUGCUGGAACAGGAAGAAUACGCAAAGGAGGGUAUUGUUUGGCAGUUUGUUGACUUCGGCAUGGAUCUACAGGCUUGCAUUGAGCUUUUCGAGAAGAAAAUGGGUAUCCUCUCCAUCCUUGAGGAAGAGUCCAUGUUCCCCAAAGCUACUGACAAGACCUUCGAGGAGAAGCUGAACAACAACCAUCUCGGAAAGUCUCGCUGCUUCAUCAAGCCCAAGCCUCCAAAGCCCGGUCAGCCUGACAACCACUUUGCCAUCGUUCACUACGCUGGCACUGUGUCCUACAACCUGACUGGCUGGCUCGAGAAGAACAAGGAUCCUCUCAACGACACCGUCGUCGACCAGCUCAAGAAGGCCUCCAACGCCCUCACAGUCGAGAUCUUCGCUGACCAUCCCGGCCAGUCUGGUGAUGCAGGCGGCAAGGGAGGAAAAGGUGGCAAACAACAAACUGGCUUCAAAACUGUGUCUUCCGGUUACAAGGAUCAGCUAGCCAACUUGAUGAAAACGCUCAACGCCACUCACCCUCACUUCAUCCGCUGCAUUGUGCCCAACGAAUUCAAGAAGCCUGGUGAAGUCGAUGCUGGCCUCAUCAUGCAUCAGCUGACCUGCAAUGGUGUACUUGAGGGCAUCCGUAUUUGCCAGAAGGGCUUCCCCAACAGGAUGCCGUAUACUGACUUCAAGCAGCGCUACAACAUUCUGGCUGCUCAGGAGAUGAUCGAGGCGAAAGACAACAAGAAGGCUGCAGAAGCUUGCUUCCAGAAGGCCGGUCUUGAUCCUGAGUUGUAUCGCUGCGGUAACACUAAGGUGUUCUUCCGUGCCGGUGUCUUAGGUAGGCUCGAGGAGAUCCGCGAAGACCGUGUGGUCCUGCUCCUCACCUGGUUCCAAGCAUGGGUUCGGGGCUACAUCAGCCGCAAAUUCUACUCCAAGAUGCAGAAGCAGCGCACCUCCCUCCUUGUCAUGCAGCGCAACCUUAGGAAGUUCAAAGUCAUGCGAUCCUGGCUCUGGUACGAGCUGUGGAUUAAGCUCAGACCCAGGCUCUCUGCCAGUCGAGCUGAGGAUGAGAUGGUAAAACUCGAAGAGACUGCCAAAAAGGCUGAGGCCGAAUACGAAAAAGAGGUUAAGGUCCGCCAAGAACUUGAAGUCAAGAACGCUGCUCUUCUUGAGGAAAGAGCUGAGCUCAUGCUGGCUCUGGACUCUUCCAAAGGUGGUAUGUCCGAGUACAUGGACAAGCAAGCCAAAAUGCAGGCACAGAAGGCAGAAAUUGAGGCACAACUCAACGAAACACUGGAACGCCUUCGCAAAGAAGAAGAAGCUCGCAACCAGAUUGCCAAUGGCAAGAAGAAGUGUGAACAAGAGGUCGCAAACCUUAAGAAGGAACUUGAGGAACUUGAGCUGGCUGUGCAGAAGGGUGAACAGGAUAAAGGCACUAAGGAGGAACAAAUUCACAACCUCAAUGACGAGAUCGCCCACCAGGAAGAACUCAUUACUAAAGUUAACAAGGAGAAGAAACACCUUCAGGAGUGCAAUCAAAAGACUGCUGAGGAUAUCCAGUGUAUUGAGGAUAAGUGCAACCACCUUAGCAAGAUGAAGACUAAGUUGGAGUCCACCCUUGACGAACUCGAAGAUUCUCUUGAGCGUGAGAAGAAGCUUCGCGCUGAAGUUGAGAAGUCGAAGAGGAAGGUUGAGGGUGACCUCAGGCUGACUCAGGAAGCUGUUACUGAUUUGGAGCGUAAUUUCAAAGAACUCGAAGUGGCUGUUGAACGUAAAGACAAGGAGAUUUCUGCCAUUACAUGUAAAAUCGAGGAUGAACAGGCCCUUAUUUAUAGGGAUCAAAGGCAGAUCAAAGAACUUCAGGCUCGCCUCGAAGAACUCGAAGAAGAAGUUGAACAUGAACGUCAAGCACGCAGCAAGGCUGAAAAGGCUAAGAAUCUCCUCUCUCGCGAACUGGGAGAACUUGGAGAGCGACUGGACGAAGCCGGUGGUGCCACUGCCACGCAGAUCGAGAUCAAUAAGAAGCGAGAGAGUGAACUGGCCAAGGUCCGCCGUGACAUCGAAGAAGCCAAUAUGCAGCAUGAGGCUGCUCUUGCCACUCUCCGUAAGAAACAUAAUGAUGCUGUAGCUGAAAUGUCCGAACAGAUCGACUAUCUUAAUAAGAUGAAAGCCAGGGCAGAAAAGGACAAAGAUGCCAUGAAACGCGAUGCUGACGAUUCAAGAGCUUCCAUGGACACUCUUGCUCGGGACAAGACUGCUGCAGAGAAGACAACGAAGCAGCUGCAGCAUCACUACAGUGAGCUCUGUGCAAGGCUUGAUGAGGUUAACCGCACUCUCAGUGACUAUGACGCCGCCAAGAAGAAGCUUGCUUGUGAGAAUGGUGACCUUGUCCGCCAGCUGGAGGAGGCCGAGAACCAGGUUGGCCAGCUUUCCAGGCUAAAGCUCUCUCUUACAAAUCAGCUUGACGACACAAGGAAACUUGCUGAUGAAGAAAGCAGGGCACGAGCCACUCUCCUGGGCAAGUUCCGCAACUUAGAACACGACAUUGAAGCUCUUCGUCAGCAACUCGACGAGGAGAAUGAUGCCAAGGGAGGCGUUUUGCGAAUGCUCUCCAAGGCUAACGCUGAGGCUCUCAUGUGGCGCUCCAAGUAUGAGUCUGAGGGUGUUGCACGCGCUGAGGAAAUCGAAGCUUCUCGCAUGAAGCUCGCCGCUCGUCUCGAAGAAGCCGAAAUGCAGAUUGAGUCUCUCAAUGUUAAGAACUUGCAUCUGGAGAAGACCAAGAUGCGAGCUGCUGCUGAGCUGGAUGACCUCCAAGUCGCUGCUGAUCGUGCACAGACUCUGGCCAACUCCGCUGAGAAGAAACAGAAGAACUUCGAUAAGAUCAUCUCUGAAUGGAAGCUGAAGGUCGACGACCUUUCUGCUGAGUUUGAUGCUUCUCAGAAGGAAUGCCGCAACUACGCCACCGAACACUUCCGUCUGAAGGCUGCCUAUGAGGAAAAUAUUGAACAACUUGAUUCUAUUCGUCGUGAGAAUAAGAAUCUCAAUGAUGAAAUUCGGGACUUGAUGGAUCAGAUCGGUGAUGGUGGCCGAGCAUACCAUGAGGCUCAGAAGAACGCCAGGCGUCUUGAACUCGAGAAGGAAGAGCUUCAGGCUGCUCUUGAGGAGGCUGAGGCAGCCCUAGAACAGGAAGAGAACAAGGUCCUCCGAACACAGCUUGAACUAAGUCAAGUCAGACAAGAAAUAGACAGGCGUAUUCAGGAGAAGGAGGAGGAAUUCGACAACACUCGUAAGUGUCACCAAAGAGCUAUUGAUUCCAUGCAAGCUUCUCUUGAGGUUGAAGCCAAGGGAAGGCGAGGCUCUUCGCAUGAAGAAGAAACUUGAGUCGACAUCAACGAGCUUGAGAUUGCCCUUGACCAUGCCAACAAGGCUAAUUCUGAUCUUCACAAGCAUUAUAGGAAGGUUCAGGAUGAGAUCAAGGAUAUGGAGGCCCGCGUUAAGGAAGAGCAACGUCUUGCUUCUGAAUAUCGAGAGCAGUACGGUAUUGCUGAACGCCGUUACAACGCCCUCUAUGGCGAACUGCAGGAAUCCCGAACUCUCCUUGAGCAAUCCGAUCGCGGUCGUCGUCAUGCCGAGACUGAGCUUAACGAUGCACGUGAACAAAUCAACAACCUCACUGGCCAGAAUGCAACUGUUAGUGCCGCUAAGAGGAAGCUAGAGGGAGAAAUGCAGACUCUUCAGGCUGACCUUGAGGAAAUGCUCAGCGAAGCCAGGAACUCGGAAGAAAAGGCGAAGAAGGCCAUGUUAGAUGCUGCUCGUCUUGCUGACGAGCUUCGCUCUGAGCAGGAGCACGCCUGUAACCAGGAGAAGAUGCGCAAGGGCUUGGAAGUUACCGUCAAUAAUCUCCAGACCCGGCUUGAGGAGAGCGAGGCUGCUGCCUUGAAGACUGGUAAGAAGGCUGUCAGUGAACUUGAAGCUCGUAUUCGUGAACUUGAGUCUGCGCUGGAUGAUGAGACUCGCCGUCAUGCCGAUUCUCAGAAGAACCUGAGGAAGUGCGAGAGGCGCAUCAAGGAGCUCGCCUUCCAGACUGAAGAGGACAAGAAGAACCACGACAGGAUGCAGGACCUCGUCGAUAAGCUCCAGCAGAAGAUCAAGACCUACAAGCGCCAGAUCGAGGAGGCUGAGGAGAUCGCCGCCCUCAACCUGGCCAAGUUCCGCAAGGCUCAGCAGGAGCUCGAGGAAUCUGGCUAAAUAAUAAUGUCACAUCUAGGCAUAUGCGAGAUGUUAAUAAAUCAAUAAGCA
This is an RNA transcript of Penaeus monodon (black tiger shrimp), 4619 nucleotides long. It is a transcript of the gene named myosin heavy chain, muscle-like, with no coding region annotated. The record is from RefSeq and is a predicted model, not a curated record. NCBI's taxonomy places the organism in Eukaryota, Metazoa, Arthropoda, Malacostraca, Decapoda, Penaeidae. The transcript is spliced from 14 exons.